UGGAGCAAAUCCCUAAAAGCCGUCCCAGUUCGGAUCGCAGGCUGAAACCCGCCUGCGUGAAGUUGGAAUCGCUAGUAAUCGCGGAUCAGCAUGCCGCGGUGAAUACGUUCCCGGGCCUUGUACACACCGCCCGUCACACCAUGAGAGUCGGGAACACCCGAAGUCCGUAGUCUAACCGCAAGGGGGGCGCGGCCGAAGGUGGGUUCGAUAAUUGGGGUGAAGUCGUAACAAGGUAAC
RNAcentral lists this ribosomal RNA (237 nucleotides) under uncultured bacterium. Its description in RNAcentral is "partial 16S ribosomal RNA". It matches the Rfam family "Bacterial small subunit ribosomal RNA", at positions 1263 to 1500 of the family's 1533-position model. The record is from RNAcentral.